GAUCCUGGCUCAGGAUGAACGCUGGCGGCGUGCUUAACACAUGCAAGUCGAACGGAAAGGCCCCUGCUUGCAGGGGUGCUCGAGUGGCGAACGGGUGAGUAACACGUGGGUGAUCUGCCCUGCACUUUGGGAUAAGCCUGGGAAACUGGGUCUAAUACCGGAUAGGACCAUCGUUUAGUGUCGGUGGUGGAAAGUUUUUCGGUGUGGGAGUGAGCUCGCGGCCUAUCAGCUUGUUGGUGGGGUAAGUGGCCU
RNAcentral lists this ribosomal RNA (252 nucleotides) under uncultured bacterium. Its description in RNAcentral is "partial 16S ribosomal RNA". It matches the Rfam family "Bacterial small subunit ribosomal RNA", at positions 15 to 266 of the family's 1533-position model. The record is from RNAcentral.